Molecule: ribosomal RNA, 486 nt
Filed under: uncultured bacterium
Lineage: Bacteria
Description: partial 16S ribosomal RNA
Rfam family: Bacterial small subunit ribosomal RNA
Source: RNAcentral
GACGAACGCUGGCGGCGUGCUUAACACAUGCAAGUCGAACGCUGAAGACCUGGCUUUUGUUGGGUUGGAUGAGUGGCGAACGGGUGAGUAACACGUGAGUAACCUGCCCUCUUCUUUGGGAUAACUCCCGGAAACGGGUGCUAAUACUGGAUAUUCACUUAACUUCGCAUGGGGGUUGGUGGAAAGGGUUUUUCUGGUGGGGGAUGGGCUCGCGGCCUAUCAGCUUGUUGGUGGGGUAAUUGCCUACAAAGGGUUUGACGGGUAGGAGGCCGGGGAGGGUGACAGGGCAAAUUGGGAAUGAGACAGGGCCCAGAGUGAUACAGGAGGAGGCAAUGGGGAAUAUUGGACGAUGGGCGAAAGCAUGAUGCAGGGGCGCGGGGUGAGGGAUGGAGGAUUGUGGGUUGUAAACAUCUGUCGAGAACGGUCGAGCAGGAACUGUGGGUUGUGGUGACGGUAGUGGGUAAAGAAGCGACGGCUAACUACGUG